RNAcentral lists this ribosomal RNA (508 nucleotides) under uncultured bacterium. RNAcentral describes it as "bacterial SSU rRNA". It matches the Rfam family "Bacterial small subunit ribosomal RNA", at positions 366 to 869 of the family's 1533-position model. The record is from RNAcentral.
GGACAAUGGGGGAAACCAUGAUCCAGCCAUGACGCGUGUGUGAAGAAGGCCCUCGGGUUGUAGAGCACUUUCAGCGAGGAAGCACGCCUAGCGGUUGAUGCCCGCUAGGAAAGACAUCACUCGCAGAAGAAGCACCGGAUAACUCCGUGCCAGCAGCCGCGGUAAUACGGAGGGCGCAAGCGUUAAUCGGAAUUACUGGGCAAAAAGCUCGCGUAGGUGGCUUGAUAAGCCGGUUGUGAAAGCCCCGGGCUCAACCUGGGAACGGCAUCUGGAACUGUCAAUAUAGAGUGCUGGAGAGGAAGGUAGAAUUCCCGGUGUAGCGGAGAAAUGCGUAGAUAUCGGGAGGAAUCCCAGUGGAGAAGGCGUCUUUGUGGACUGACACAGACAGUGAGGUGAGAAAGCGUGGGUAGCAAACGGGAUUAGAUCCCCUGGUAGUACACGCUGUAAGCGAUGUCGUCCAGCCGUUGGGACCUAGCGCAUUUUGUGGCGAAGUAACGCAAUAAGUGAC